Molecule: ribosomal RNA, 253 nt
Filed under: uncultured bacterium
Lineage: Bacteria
Description: partial 16S ribosomal RNA
Rfam family: Bacterial small subunit ribosomal RNA
Source: RNAcentral
UACGAAGGGGGCUAGCGUUGUUCGGAGUCACAGGGCGUAAAGCGCACGUAGGCGGAUUGUUAAGUCAGGGGUGAAAUCCCGAGGCUCAACCUCGGAACUGCCUUUGAUACUGGCGAUCUAGAGUCCGGGAGAGGUGAGUGGAACUGCGAGUGUAGAGGUGAAAUUCGUAGAUAUUCGCAAGAACACCAGUGGCGAAGGCGGCUCACUGGCCCGGAACUGACGCUGAGGUGCGAAAGCGUGGGGAGCAAAUAGG